Molecule: long non-coding RNA, 2010 nt
Filed under: Ananas comosus (pineapple)
Lineage: Eukaryota; Viridiplantae; Streptophyta; Magnoliopsida; Poales; Bromeliaceae
Description: long non-coding RNA (ACOM_LNC012326)
Source: RNAcentral
UUGCGGAGACAGAUCGUGGAAAGGGAGUCGCGAGUUAGAUCCCUUCCCAGUUGCUGCUGACUUAGAGACAUACUCGCUGCAGGUAGUGUUAGUUUUUGGGUUCUUAUACAUACUUAUAUUGUAUCUCGCUGGAGCGAGCGUUUUGUAUACCUGGAUGCUAUAUAUGUAUAGUGAACUUCUGUUAUUACUUAUGUAUUCUCUUUAGCAGCUCUAUACUACUGGUUGUAGUAUUGUAUGAUUACAGGUACAGCUAUCGUUUCAUAUACAGAAAAAGUUUCUUUGUAUACGGCGGAUUUGUCGGCGUGCCCGGAGAAAUGAGUAAUCCGGGGCGUGACAUAUGGAUUCAGAUAUGGAUUUUGAGUGUACCCGAUCCGAACCCGAACCCGAACCCGAGNUAUAUAUAUAUAUAUAUAUAUAUAUAUAUAUAUAUAUAUAUAUAUAUAUAUAUAUAUAUAUAUAUAUAUAUAUAUAUAUAUAUAUUUGAUGUUAUAUUUGAAUUUGUAUUUUAAAAAUUUAGAUUUAAUAUAAUAUAUUUUGAAAUAUUGAAAAAGAAAUAAUUGUUUCAGGUUCAAAUUUUCGGGUUUCGGAUUUUUGGUCGGGUUCGGGUUCGGGUCUUGGGUUUAGAGUUUGAUUCGGGUUCGGUUUUUUGAAAGUCCGCCCCGAAUCCGACCCGUUGACAUCUCUACCUCGAAGGUUGCAAAAAUAGUUGCUGACUACGAUCGCGGCAUUCACUCAUUGCAAAAGUUUGCACGAUCGUUUGGAGGUGACGGCUGAGAUGACUAUAUAACGGUGCCAAAGCUCGCAAGGCAGGAGUGAUGAGAAGAUGUAGUAGAAGAACCUUCGUUGUCAUUACUGUCAGCGCGGAGAACUAUUGCGACGAGGUGGGGUAGUGGGGGAAGGCGAAGAGGUUGGGUUUAAGAUGGAAAAAAUAGGACGACGAAGGAUUUAGGAGCGAUGUACCAGUGCAAGGGUGCAAAGAACGAAAAGAUGGAAGCAAGCUUUUGGGGCGAUGUAUCGGCGUGAGGGCACAAGCAACGAAGAUAUAGGCUCAGGCAACGAAGAGAUGUAAGGAAGGUGGAAAGCAUGUGGGAAAAUGGGCCAGCAUUCAUUGUGUGGGUCCAUCACCAACCAAUAGGAUAGAUGUAGGUGGACCCUACCACUAUAGCUCAAAUUGUUGAGGUUUCGCCACGUGGAUUAAAAUCAUGAGGAUUAAUAGUAUUUUAUAGAUUUUAUAGAUAGUUAAUAGGCACAAUUGAAAGUAGUACCAAUUUGGAUCUUUCAUUACUCUGCUCGGUAAAGAGAGAGACAAUAGGGAGAGUGAGCCAAAGAGACCUCGAAGGUUGCAAAAAAAGUUGUUGACUACGAUUGCGGCAUUCACUCAUUGCAAAAGUUUGCACGAUCGUUUGGAGGUGGCAGCUGAGAUGACUAUAUAACGGUGCCAAAGCUCGCAGGGCAGGAGAGAUUAGGAGAUGUAGUAGAAGAAGCCUUCGCCAUCAUUACUGUCAGUGUGGAGAACUAUUGCGGCGAGGUGGGGUAGUGGGGGAAGGCGAAGAGGGUGGGUUUAAGAUGAAAAAAAAAGGACAGCGAAGGAUUUAGGAGCGAUGUACCGGUGCAAAGGUGCAAAGAACAAAAAGACGGGAGCAAGCUUUUGGGGCGAUGUAUCGGCGUGAGGGCGCACAAGCAACGAAGAGAUAUAGUCUCAAGCAACGAAGAGAUGUAAGGAAGGUGGAAAGCAUAUGGGAAAAUGGGUCAGCAUUCAUUGUGUGGGCCCAUCACCAACCAAUAGGAUAGAUGUAGGUGGACCCUACCACUAUAGCUCAAAUUGUUGAGGUUUCGCCAUGUGGAUUAAAAUCAUAAGGAUUAAUAGUAUUUUAUAGAUUUUAUAGAUAGUUGAUAGGCACAAUUGAAAGUAGAACCAAUUUGGAUCUUUCAUUACUAUGCUCGAUAAAGAGAGAGACUAUAGGGAGAGUGAGCCAAAGAGACCUCGAAGGUUGCAAAAAUAGUUGCUGA